Molecule: long non-coding RNA, 544 nt
Organism: Calypte anna (Anna's hummingbird)
Lineage: Eukaryota; Metazoa; Chordata; Aves; Apodiformes; Trochilidae
Exons: 3
Source: RefSeq, a predicted model, not a curated record
AAGCGGCGCGGAGAGACGGGGGGCCAUUUUUGGUGAAUUUUGGAGCCCCAUUGUGAAACAUCAGGGGAGAGGCCGAGGGGUCAGAUAUUGGAGGACGCUAUUUAAAAACCAGAGAUCAUCUUCUGCUGAAGGAGGAGGUUUGCUCGAGACUGUAAAGAAGAAUCCAGCCGUACGGCACGGGCGCAGGAAAGAAACUGUAGUAUCUUUUCCCCCAAAACCCUCAGCCACAGCCUCUGCUCUGGCUGCGGCUGAGUUGUGCUGCAUCAGGUGCUGCCUAGAAAAGCUUUAUUUUGUCAUCUGUGUCAGUGAUGCCAAUCGAUGUACGUCUCUCUUUCCCACAUGCCUGGUUCUGGUACCUUGGUGAAAAGGUAUGAGCCAGACAGGUGAAGAAUUGUGAGAAGGGGAGAAGAAACUGGGGAGGAGGCUAGAUUUGGGGGGCGGGCGGCUGUGUGUUGGCCACGGAGGGGACUUGUGGGAGAUUGCGCUUUGCCACUACAAGGCCUGGGUUUCACUAAUGCUAAGUAAGCUUAGCCAAAGUUGCAAG